UACCAGCACCCCGAGUGGUCGGGACGAUUAUUGGGCCUAAGGCAUCCGUAGCCGGUUUUACAAGUCCUCCGUUAAAUCCAACUGCUUAACAGAUGGGCCGCGGAGGAUACUAUAAGACUAGGAGGCAGGAGAGGCAAGCGGUACUCAGUGGGUAGGGGUAAAAUCCGUUGAUCCAUUGAAGACCACCAGUGGCGAAGGCGGCUUGCCAGAAUGCGCUCGACGGUGAGGGAUGAAAGCUGGGGGAGCAAACCGG
Molecule: ribosomal RNA, 253 nt
Filed under: uncultured bacterium
Lineage: Bacteria
Description: partial 16S ribosomal RNA
Rfam family: Archaeal small subunit ribosomal RNA
Source: RNAcentral